Molecule: long non-coding RNA, 2024 nt
Organism: Antechinus flavipes (yellow-footed antechinus)
Lineage: Eukaryota; Metazoa; Chordata; Mammalia; Dasyuromorphia; Dasyuridae
Exons: 3
Source: RefSeq, a predicted model, not a curated record
CCGCCACAUAGAGCCAGACCCUUGGCCUGCGUAGUUUUUUAAAAUUUUACUGAUUUAUUGACGGAUUGAUUUUUUUUUUUUUUUUUUUAAGGGUAACAAGGGCCCGGGGGAGAGAGAGACACAGAGAAAGAGACAGAGAGAAAGGGGGAGUGUGUUUGGGGGGAGCGGAUUAAAGGGAGUUUUGAACCCGGCUCCAGGUCCCAGAGAGUUUUGCAAAAGCCCCGCUGAAAAGGACCCAGCUUGGCCCACCCAGACACACCUGGCUUUCUUUCCAUCCGGGUCCCUGGAAGCUCAGGAAGAGGCCUGGUGCUUUCUAGGGGUGUUGAGAAAGACAGGGGACCCCACUAGAGCUUUUCCAAAGUUCUCCUCAGGGCCACAAACCUGAUGACCGCCACAUAGAGCCAGACCCUUGGCCUGUGUAGUUUUUUAAAAUUUUACUGAUUUAUUGACGGAUUGAUUUUUUUUUUUUUUUUUAAGGGUAACAAGGGCCCGGGGGAGAGAGAGACACAGAGAAAGAGAGAGAGAGAAAGGGGGAUUGUGUUUGGGGGGAGCGGAUUAAAGGGAGUUUUGAACCCGGCUCCAGGUCCCAGAGAGUUUUGCAAAAGCCCCGCUGAAAAGGACCCAGCUUGGCCCACCCAGACACACCUGGCUUUCUUUCCAUCCGGGUCCCUGGAAGCUCAGGAAGAGGCCUGGUGCUUUCUAGGGGUGUUGAGAAAGACAGGGGACCCCACUAGAGCUUUUCCAAAGUUCUCCUCAGGGCCACAAACCUGAUGACCGCCACAUAGAGCCAGACCCUUGGCCUGUGUAGUUUUUUAAAAUUUUACUGAUUUAUUGACGGAUUGAUUUUUUUUUUUUUUUUUUAAGGGUAACAAGGGCCCGGGGGAGAGAGAGACACAGAGAAAGAGAGAGAGAGAAAGGGGGAUUGUGUUUGGGGGGAGCGGAUUAAAGGGAGUUUUGAACCCGGCUCCAGGUCCCAGAGAGUUUUGCAAAAGCCCCGCUGAAAAGGACCCAGCUUGGCCCACCCAGACACACCUGGCUUUCUUUCCAUCCGGGUCCCUGGAAGCUCAGGAAGAGGCCUGGUGCUUUCUAGGGGUGUUGAGAAAGACAGGGGACCCCACUAGAGCUUUUCCAAAGUUCUCCUCAGGGCCACAAACCUGAUGACCGCCACAUAGAGCCAGACCCUUGGCCUGUGUAGUUUUUUAAAAUUUUACUGAUUUAUUGACGGAUUGAUUUUUUUUUUUUUUUUUUUUAAGGGUAACAAGGGCCCGGGGGAGAGAGAGACACAGAGAAAGAGACAGAGAGAAAGGGGGAGUGUAUUUGGGGGGAGCGGAUUAAAGGGAGUUUUGAACCCGGCUCCAGGUCCCAGAGAGUUUUGCAAAAGCCCCGCUGAAAAGGACCCAGUUUGGCCCACCCAGACACACCUGGCUUUCUUUCCAUCCGGGUCCCUGGAAGCUCAGGAAGAGGCCUGGUGCUUUCUAGGGGUGUUGAGAAAGACAGGGGACCCCACUAGAGCUUUUCCAAAGUUCUCCUCAGGGCCACAAACCUGAUGACCGCCACAUAGAGCCAGACCCUUGGCCUGUGUAGUUUUUUAAAAUUUUACUGAUUUAUUGACGGAUUGAUUUUUUUUUUUUUUUUUAAGGGGUAACAAGGGCCCGGGGGAGAGAGAGACACAGAGAAAGAGACAGAGAGAAAGGGGGAGUGUGUUUGGGGGGAGCGGAUUAAAGGGAGUUUUGAACCCGGCUCCAGGUCCCAGAGAGUUUUGCAAAAGCCCCGCUGAAAAGGACCCAGCUUGGCCCACCCAGACACACCUGGCUUUCUUUCCAUCCGGGUCCCUGGAAGCUCAGGAAGAGGCCUGGUGCUUUGUAGGGGUGUUUGAGAAAGACAGGGGAUCCCAGAAGCCUGGUCCCAAGGCUAAAGACUUUCCCAGAUUGCCCUUUCCACAGGCCCAAAGCAUGGGCGCAGAAAGAUGCCUAUUGCUCAAAGUUUUUCUGUUGCAAGUCCCAGGACCAAAUUGGGGGGGGGGG